UACGUAGGGUGCAAGCGUUAAUCGGAAUUACUAGGCGUAAAGCGUGCGCAGGCGGUUUUGAAAGUCUGACGUGAAAUCCCCGGGCUCAACCUGGGAAUUGCGAUGGAGACUGCAAGGCUUGAAUCUGGCAGAGGGGGGUAGAAUUCCACGUGUAGCAGUGAAAUGCGUAGAGAUGUGGAGGAACACCGAUGGCGAAGGCAGCCCCCUGGGUCAAGAUUGACGCUCAUGCACGAAAGCGUGGGGAGCAAACAGG
RNAcentral lists this ribosomal RNA (253 nucleotides) under uncultured bacterium. RNAcentral's name for it is "partial 16S ribosomal RNA". It matches the Rfam family "Bacterial small subunit ribosomal RNA", at positions 524 to 776 of the family's 1533-position model. The record is from RNAcentral.